Podarcis muralis (Common wall lizard) is the source of this 2227-nucleotide non-coding RNA. The record is from RefSeq and is a predicted model, not a curated record. Lineage: Eukaryota; Metazoa; Chordata; Lepidosauria; Squamata; Lacertidae.
AAUAUUUUAAAUUUUAUUCUAGGCUUCUCUCUUAGAGAAGCAAUUGUCAUGGGCAGCAACAAUUGCUUCUCUAAGAGCAUUGCUGAUGUCUUUCCUCAGCAUUGUGUUAAAACACAUCUGAAUGCUCCAUCAAACUGCUAAAAUUUUGACUUUUAUAGAGAUGGUCACAAUUGCUGAUGAUCAGUUAACCAACACCUGUCUGCUACUUAACCUCAUAAUGAUCCUUGUUUUAUUUAUUUUCUCAUAAAUAGAUCACAAUUUACAUUUAUAGCACUGCAUAUAACAGUGUGACUUGCCAUCAAACCACCUAGGAGUUCAGUGUCAAACAGUUUUCAGUUCAUCACCUAAGCCAUAUGUUAGCAACUGGACCACAUACUAGCAUAAAUUCCUUCCAGCAUUAUUUGCUGUUUUUCCUUGCAAGAGUGCACCCAAACCUUUAACAGGGUGUCAUUUGGGAAUCUGUUGUAUCUAUUUGAAGAUUGCAUUCAGUUACUCAACACUUCCUUAUUUGAUCUGUAAGCCAGUUCACUAUUGUGCUUAAAAUGAUUACUGCGUAAGUAGUCCUGACAUGUUAGAACCUUGUUAAAAAGAAAGAUGAUGAAUGUUCAUAUUCAACUGAUGAAGUAGGAGAUGCAUUUUAAUUCAUUAAAUGUAUAAUAAUUUCAAAAAAGUUAUUUAAAUACUAAAUGCAAAGUGCCAAAAGUGUUUCACAUACAGGUCAUUCCAUAUCAAAUGAUCCUACUUUUUUACCUCAUGUCAUCCAAUUUUCUUAACAUUUUGUCUAUUUGUUGAAUGAUCAAAACUAAGUUUAAAUCUAAAAUUUUACAGUUACUACAAAAUACUGUACAUAGCAAACAAAAUUAUGACACCACUGGAACUCUUUAACUGGUGCCAAGAUAACACUCCUUCUACCGGGUUGUCAUUUUCAACAAAUGAGGAGUGCAGAAAAGAACAUUCCUAAAACAACCCUUUGAAACAGUGAAAUCAAUCAAGGGAAUACAAGGAUUUCAUUGCUUUGUUCCAUCUACAUCCAGGCCAACAGAAAUUGUGACCAAAGUGUACUCCUUUAGCAAUGAGAGUGAGAAGUUCGACAGUGAAGGAGGUACAAAAUCUCUGGAUACAGCUGAGAUAACUAGUGAUCUAUGCAUUAAAGCCAUCAGCAAAACCUGAGUUGAGAACAUGAGUUGAGAACAUCCACCAGUGAGAGCCAGAGGGCACACAGAAAUGAGGCUCUUGAGAGUUAAAAGGAGUUGGGCUUUGGCUGCAAUCCACACCUUGUUUAUUCUUCAGUACUCCACCAUGGUAUUUUGGGAGAAUCUGCUAAAAUGAAGGAAGAUGACUCCUUUCAGCCAACUAACUUUCACGGCUACUGGUCAAAAUAACCUUCAACCUGAGAAGAAGUUUUGGUAUCUCCUCAAAUGACUCUUUUGGUAAUACACCAAAGCAGGGGCACUGGAUAUAUGGGGCGCAAGGAGCUGACAUCCCCCACCACUGCCACAUGCUCCCCACGUGCCGCAGCCCCUGCGUGGGAGCCUAGGAGCCGGGAGGGGGCUGGAUGAGUAAGGGCAAAGGUCGCCCUCCAUGUGUCCUACCCCUGCCCAGCACAUGCCAUGGGGAGAAGGAGGCUGAGGAUGGAGCCCAGCUCAGUGUGUGAGUGCUGACAUCACGGGGGCAGGAUGCAUCCCUUGACAUCCCAUGACAUGUCACGUGAUGCACCCCCAUGUGGUGGGCAAGUUGGCAUCCCUGCACCAAAGCAUGGUAGCAGUACUGCCAGUAAGCAGAAUACUAUUUUCACUUCAAGAAGUACAGCCACAAUGAUAAUUUAAGAAUCUGCUAAAAAAGAGGAUAUUCUGGUUCCACCAAAAGUACAGUGGCUGCCAUCCUAGGCAUGCCUACCUGGGAGUAAGCUCUAGGGAACACAGGAAAAUUCUCAGCAAACAUGCAGGCACUUGGUCUUCCAGUUUCCCACCUCAGUAAAAGAGCUGACUGCUAAACCCUGAAUGAAGAAAUCCCUACUUGAAUGUAUACAUCAAAGGGGGAAUUGGCAUGAUGGCCAUUUUUAUAGUAUUUAGACACCAUUUUUCAAUCCAAUGGAAGUGACUUACAAUUAAAGUUAAAGUGCAUAGUUAUAUGACAACUCCAUGGUGAUCACCAAUAGUCAGAAUGGAUUUCUGAAAAAUAAGUCAUGUCAGACUAACCUGAUCUCGUUUUUUGACAGAAUUACAAG